GGAUAGCGGAGAAAUUCCAAUCGAACUCGGAGAUAGCUGGUUCUCCUCGAAAUAGUUUUAGGACUAGCCUUGUUUAGUAGUAUGUGGGGGUAGAGCACUGAAUGAGCUAGGGGCCAAACCAGGUUACUGAACUCUAUCAAACUCCGAAUACCAUGUACGUAAGAACAGGAGUCAGACUGCGGGAGCUAAGUUCCGUGGUCAAAAGGGAAAGAGCCCAGAUCGUCAAUUAAGGUCCCAAAGAUAUAGUUAAGUGGAAAACGAUGUGAUUUUGCGUAAACAACCAGGAUGUUGGCUUAGAAGCAGCCAUUCAUUUAAAGAGUGCGUAAUAGCUCACUGGUCGAGUGAAGUUGCGCGGAAAAUUACCGGGGCUAAACUAUACACCGAAAUUGCGGAUUUGCAUGAAAGUGCAAGUGGUAGAGGAGCAUUCUAUAGUAGGACGAAGCAUAAUCGAAAGGAUAUGUGGACGAGAUAGAAGAGAGAAUGCCGGAAUAAGUAGCGAAAGCAUGGUGAGAAUCCAUGCCAUCGAAAGUCUAAGGUUUCCUGGGGAAGGUUCGUCCGCCCAGGGUAAGUCGGGACCUAAGGUGAGGCCGAAAGGCGUAGCCGAUGGAUAGCAGGUUGAGAUUCCUGCACCACCGAAAUACUUAAAAGAUGUAAGGGACACAGGAGUGGAAGGAAAGCGAGGAAGAGGAAAGACUCGUAUCGAAAGAUAUAGUGAAAAUAGAAAGUAACGAAUUUCCAAGAAGCACACUGGCGAGAAAAGCUUGCAGAUAUUGUAUAGAGGUGCCCGUACCGCAAACCGACACAGGUAGAUGAGGAGAGGAUCCUAAGAUGAGCGAGAGAAGCAUUGUUAAGGAACUCGGCAAACUGACCCCGUAACUUAGGGAGAAGGGGUACUGGGAUAAAACCCAGUCGCAGAGAAUAGUCCCAAGCAACUGUUUAACAAAAACACAGGUUUCUGCUAAAUCGAAAGAUGAAGUAUAGGAGCUGACGCCUGCCCAGUGCUGGAAGGUUAAGGGGAAGAGUUAGAUGUAAGUCGAAGCUUAGAACCAAAGCCCCAGUGAACGGCGGCCGUAACUAUAACGGUCCUAAGGUAGCGAAAUUCCUUGUCAGGUAAGUUCUGACCCGCACGAAAGGUGUAACGAUUUGGGCGCUGUCUCGGCAGCAGACUCGGUGAAAUCUUAGUACCUGUGAAAAUGCAGGUUACCCGCAACUAGACGGAAAGACCCCAUGGAGCUUUACUGCAGCCUGAUAUUGAAUUCUGGUCAUACAUGUACAGGAUAGGUGGGAGACAAAGAGACGUGCACGCCAGUGUACGAGGAGUCGCCGUUGGGAUACCACUCUUGUGUGACCGGGGUUCUAACCUGGUAUCGAGAACAGGUACGGGGAGAGUGUCAGGUGGGCAGUUUGACUGGGGCGGUCGCCUCCCAAAGAGUAACGGAGGCGCCCAAAGGUACGCUCAGAUUGGAUGGAAACCAAUCGUCGAGUGCAAUUGCAGAAGCGUGCUUGACUGUGAGACUUACAAGUCGAACAGGGACGAAAGUCGGGAAUAGUGAUCCGGCGGUGCCGAAUGGAAGGGCCGUCGCUCAACGGAUAAAAGCUACCCUGGGGAUAACAGGCUGAUCUCGCCCAAGAGUUCACAUCGACGGCGAGGUUUGGCACCUCGAUGUCGGCUCAUCGCAUCCUGGAGCUGGAUUCGGUUCCAAGGGUUGGGCUGUCCGCCCAUUAAAGCGGUACGCGAGCUGGGUUCAGAACGUCGUGAGACAGUUCGGUC
This 1771-nucleotide ribosomal RNA is filed under the name human gut metagenome. RNAcentral describes it as "bacterial LSU rRNA". It matches the Rfam family "Bacterial large subunit ribosomal RNA", at positions 813 to 2636 of the family's 2925-position model. The record is from RNAcentral.